UCUCCCAAAAUCAGGGUUUUCAUCAAGCCCUCUUUCUCAGAUUUUGAUUUACUCGUUCGUCGAUCUUCAUUGCAUUAAUGGAUUGAAUUUCGCAAAUUGUGUGUGUGAUUCGGCAAAUUGAUCAAAUAUGAGGAGAGGCAUGUGAUGAACAGCCACUCGGAGAGAUAAAUACGAUCUGGGUGCUGGAGAUGUUUAGUAAAGCUUGGCUUGUUUGAUGGGGUAUUAUCCUGAAAGUUGUCGUGGUGAAGCAGACCAAGGCCAAGCAGGCGCUGCUGAGUUGUAUUUUAUGCAGGGUCGAGAAUAACAGCCAUUCACUUGGUAAAUGUUGCAUCCAACUGCUUGUACUUUUGACACGUAGUUUACAUGAUAUGCUUCAGUUUUAAAAUCAUAAUUCUGAUGUGUUUUUCAUUUUUCUUUGUAUGUGACACCCGCAUUGAGACUUAUACGAGUGAAAGGGAAGCAGAAGUAGAUAUACAGUGAUGGGGCCAAAGCCUAAAUUGCAGCAGCAGAGCCCAAAAAAUGUGAUUUACUUCUUUCCAAUUUAUUGCUUUAGUUGUAAUUAUUUCAGUUAAUCUAACUUUAGCUUUAGUUUGAUUUAACUAGAUUCUCCAAAAUAUACCUAAUAAUUCUAAUCAAAUAUACCUUAUUUUCAAGGGA
Molecule: long non-coding RNA, 657 nt
Organism: Solanum pennellii
Lineage: Eukaryota; Viridiplantae; Streptophyta; Magnoliopsida; Solanales; Solanaceae
Exons: 2
Source: RefSeq, a predicted model, not a curated record